UACGUAGGGUGCGAGCGUUAAUCGGAAUUACUGGGCGUAAAGUGUGCGUAGGCGGCCGAGCAAGUCGAGUGUGAAAGCCCCGAGCUUAACUUGGGAACUGCGCUCGAAACUACUUGGCUAGAGUGUGGCAGAGGGAGGUGGAAUUCCACGUGUAGCGGUGAAAUGCGUAGAGAUGUGGAGGAACACCGAUGGCGAAGGCAGCCUCCUGGGCCAACACUGACGCUCAUGCACGAAAGCGUGGGGAGCAAACAGG
RNAcentral lists this ribosomal RNA (253 nucleotides) under uncultured bacterium. RNAcentral's name for it is "partial 16S ribosomal RNA". It matches the Rfam family "Bacterial small subunit ribosomal RNA", at positions 524 to 776 of the family's 1533-position model. The record is from RNAcentral.